Molecule: long non-coding RNA, 262 nt
Filed under: Ananas comosus (pineapple)
Lineage: Eukaryota; Viridiplantae; Streptophyta; Magnoliopsida; Poales; Bromeliaceae
Description: long non-coding RNA (ACOM_LNC019245)
Source: RNAcentral
GAGAGAGAGAGAGAGAGAGAGAGAGAGAGAGAGAAAGAGAGAGCUGCUAUACUAUCGGUAGCACGGACGCCUUCGUGCUACCAAGUUAUUUUCAAUGAUGCCGCUUCCAAAUCGACGAUCGGUUCCGUUAGACUUAAUCUAUAGUACUGAAAGUAUUUGGAAACUAAAUUUCAUAAUUUUUCGGUAUUAUUUACCUAUCAAACGAGUAGUCUAAAAAUGAACGGCUGAAAAUAAAAAUCUCAUAAAAAUGAUGAUAGAAGAC